This 331-nucleotide unclassified non-coding RNA is filed under the name soil metagenome. RNAcentral's name for it is "partial contains 5.8S ribosomal RNA, internal transcribed spacer 2, and large subunit ribosomal RNA". The stretch from base 1 to 120 matches the Rfam family "5.8S ribosomal RNA", at positions 35 to 154 of the family's 154-position model. The record is from RNAcentral.
GAUGAAGAACGGAGCGAAAUGCGAUAAGUAAUGUGAAUUGCAGAAUUCAGUGAAUCAUCGAAUCUUUGAACGCACAUUGCGCCCCCUGGUAUUCCGGGGGGCAUGCCUGUUCGAGCGUCAUUUCACCACUCAAGCCUCGCUUGGUAUUGGGCAUCGCGGUCCGCCGCGCGCCUCAAAUCGACCGGCUGGGUCUUCUGUCCCCUAAGCGUUGUGGAAACUAUUCGCUAAAGGGUGUUCGGGAGGCUACGCCGUAAAACAACCCCAUUUCUAAGGUUGACCUCGGAUCAGGAAGGGAUACCCGCUGAACUUAAGCAUAUCAAUAAGCGGAGGA